CGGCGAGUGAAGCGGUAACAGCUCAAAUUUGAAAUCUGGCCUCACGGUCCGAGUUGUAAUUUGUAGAGGAUGCUUCGAGCAUGGUCUGGCCUAAGUUCCUUGGAACAGGACGUCAUAGAGGGUGAGAAUCCCGUAUGCGGCCAGGUGCCUACGCUCAUGUGAAGCUCCUUCGACGAGUCGAGUUGUUUGGGAAUGCAGCUCAAAAUGGGUGGUAAAUUUCAUCUAAAGCUAAAUAUUGGCCAGAGACCGAUAGCGCACAAGUAGAGUGAUCGAAAGAUGAAAAGCACUUUGGAAAGAGAGUUAAACAGUACGUGAAAUUGUUGAAAGGGAAGCGCUUGCAACCAGACUUGCGCGCGGCCGAUCAUCCGGUGUUCUCACCGGUGCACUCGGCCGUGCUCAGGCCAGCAUCGGUUUUGGCGGCUGGAUAAAGGCCCUAGGAAUGUAGCUCCUCUCGGGGAGUGUUAUAGCCUAGGGUGCAAUGCAGCCUGCUGGGACCGAGGACCGCGCUUCGGCUAGGAUGCUGGCGUAAUGGUUGUAAGCGGCCCGUCUUGAAACACGGACCAAGGAGUCUAACAUCUAUGCGAGUGUUUGGGUGUCAAACCCAUACGCGUAAUGAAAGUGAACGGAGGUGAGAACCCUUAAGGGUGCAUCAUCGACCGGUCCUGAAGUUUACGGAAGGAUCUGAGUAAGAGCAUAGCUGUUGGGACCCGAAAGAUGGUGAACUAUGCCUGAAUAGGGUGAAGCCAGAGGAAACUCUGGUGGAGGCUCGCAGCGGUUCUGACGUGCAAAUCGAUCGUCAAAUUUGGGUAUAGGGGCGAAAGACUAAUCGAACCAUUGACCUGUAGGAACACUACUAGGUGGUUAAGAGGCGGCUAAAAGUGCCGUCUAGUCCCGACGCCGGGGCGACACUGUCAAAUUGCGGGAACAUCCUUAGAGCCUAGACUACCGCAGCCUUCCUGAAAGGGGGGUGCGCACCAGGGUAAUGACCUCGGGUAUGGUAAUAACGUCUAGGAUUGGACAAUCCGCAGCCAAGCCCUACGGACCUCGGUCUAUGGGUGCAGUUCAUCGACUAGAUGGCAGUGGGUGGCAGCAAUGCCGCUUAAGAUAUAGUCAGACCCCCGGGAGACCGGGCGGCAGAACGAAGACCGUGGGGGGCGUCCUCUCUGAGAGCCCCGCGGUCCCGAGUCUGCUGGUGGCGUCGCAGCUUGCUGCGGUGCCUGGAGUAAGUGCUAGUAGCUGGUUCCUGCCGAAGUUUCCCUCAGGAUAGCAGUGUUGAAUUCAGUUUUAUGAGGUAAAGCGAAUGAUUAGAGGCCUUGGGGUUGAAACAACCUUAACCUAUUCUCAAACUUUAAAUAUGUAAGAAGUCCUUGUUACUUAAUUGAACGUGGACAUUCGAAUGUACCAACACUAGUGGGCCAUUUUUGGUAAGCAGAACUGGCGAUGCGGGAUGAACCGAACGCGGAGUUAAGGUGCCGGAAUAUACGCUCAUCAGACACCACAAAAGGUGUUAGUUCAUCUAGACAGCAGGACGGUGGCCAUGGAAGUCGGAAUCCGCUAAGGAGUGUGUAACAACUCACCUGCCGAAUGAACUAGCCCUGAAAAUGGAUGGCGCUUAAGCGUAUUACCCAUACUCCGCCGCCAGGGUAGAAACGAUGCCCUGGCGAGUAGGCAGGCGUGGGG
Molecule: ribosomal RNA, 1680 nt
Filed under: Pseudogymnoascus sp. ZYZ-2022a
Lineage: Eukaryota; Fungi; Ascomycota; Leotiomycetes; Thelebolales; Thelebolaceae
Description: partial large subunit ribosomal RNA
Rfam family: Eukaryotic large subunit ribosomal RNA
Source: RNAcentral